GACACCGAUGAAAUGUUUGAAAACAUAAACAGCGGAAGGGAAGAAGUCACUCUUAAUCCGAUCUAGCAAGAAAUGAUAUACCGAUAAAGUCAAGCGAGAGAGCUCAUUAAGAAAGAAGGUCAUCCAUCUUACAUCCGCCUUUUUGUUUUAGAUAGGGCGAGGAGGCUAGUACGAGACUCCAAACCACGACGGAUAUUGUCUUAGGAAAUAUAAUGGGACGGGAGGCCUAUCUGACCUUUUGUUUGAUUCCAUUUUCCAACCCUUUCUUUAGAACCAAC
Molecule: long non-coding RNA, 278 nt
Filed under: Lathyrus oleraceus (garden pea)
Lineage: Eukaryota; Viridiplantae; Streptophyta; Magnoliopsida; Fabales; Fabaceae
Description: Pisum sativum (pea) long non-coding RNA (PSAT_LNC018216)
Source: RNAcentral